This is a long non-coding RNA of Solanum stenotomum, 423 nucleotides long. RefSeq lists it as uncharacterized. The transcript has 2 exons. Lineage: Eukaryota; Viridiplantae; Streptophyta; Magnoliopsida; Solanales; Solanaceae. The record is from RefSeq and is a predicted model, not a curated record.
UUUUAAUUCUCCAUUUUCUAUUGUCUAGUUUUGCAAGGUGAUUUACUAGUUGCCGACACAAAUCGUCGGUCAUAUGUAAUUUAUUUCAACCAAAUGCUCUUUGUACUUUCUUUUUCUCCUACUCUCUCUCUCAUUAACUCUCUUGAAUCAGAUUACGUCAGGGAAGUCAUAGAACUGGGAAGAUUAUCCAAGCAACAGAAGUUGGGAACUUUAUGACAGAAGAGGCUCAUAAUAUUUGUAUCGGAGCAGUUCUUGUAAUAGUAUCUUGUUGUGGUUGGAUUGGAGCGGCGACAAGGAAUGGUUGCUGCAUCUGCAUGAGUGGUUUACCUUCAUGAAUUAUUAUGUAUUUGUGGAACAUUUCUAGUAAGAUUUUGAGAUCUUUCAUGCAUAGCUUCUAUUUCGAAUCAACUUGGAUGAGUUUUU